GCGGUUGUAGUUUAGUUGGUUAGAAUGCCUGCCUGUCACGCAGGAGGUCGAGGGUUCGAGUCCCUUCAACCGCGCCA
This 77-nucleotide transfer RNA is filed under the name Arcobacter suis CECT 7833. RNAcentral describes it as "tRNA-Asp". It matches the Rfam family "tRNA". From Rfam's summary of the family: Transfer RNA (tRNA) molecules are approximately 80 nucleotides in length. RNAcentral also lists the same sequence under 13 other names. Lineage: Bacteria; Pseudomonadati; Campylobacterota; Epsilonproteobacteria; Campylobacterales; Arcobacteraceae. The record is from RNAcentral.